GCUACAUUUAGUGCCGCCUUUGUCUUUUCAAAGUUUUCUCCUUUUUUUGUAUGUAAGGACAUUACUGUUUUACUUGGUGGCAGAAAUCG
Small nucleolar RNA from Brassica oleracea var. oleracea, 89 nucleotides. It matches the Rfam family "Small nucleolar RNA snoR110". The record is from Rfam. NCBI's taxonomy places the organism in Eukaryota, Viridiplantae, Streptophyta, Magnoliopsida, Brassicales, Brassicaceae.